RNAcentral lists this ribosomal RNA (465 nucleotides) under uncultured bacterium. RNAcentral's name for it is "bacterial SSU rRNA". It matches the Rfam family "Bacterial small subunit ribosomal RNA", at positions 338 to 795 of the family's 1533-position model. The record is from RNAcentral.
CCUACGGGCCGCACCAGUGGGGAAUAUUGCACAAUGGGCGCAAGCCUGAUGCAGCCAUGCCGCGUGUAUGAAGAAGGCCUUCGGGUUGUAAAGUACUUUCAGCGAGGAGGAAGGCGUUAAGGUUAAUAACCUUGGUGAUUGACGGUACUCGCAGAAGAAGCACCGGCUAACUCCGUGCCAGCAGCCGCGGUAAUACGGAGGGUGCAAGCGUUAAUCGGAAUUACUGGGCGUAAAGCGCACGCAGGAUGUCUGUCAAGUCGGAUGUGAAAUCCCCGGGCCCAACCUGGGAACUGCAUUCGAAACUGGCAGGCUAGAGUCUUGUAGAGGGGGGUAGAAUUCCAGGUGUAGCGGUGAAAUGCGUAGAGAUCUGGAGGAAUACCGGUGGCGAAGGCGGCCCCCUGGACAAAGACUGACGCUCAGGUGCGAAAGCGUGGGGAGCAAACAGGAUUAGAUACCCGUGUAGUC